Molecule: ribosomal RNA, 245 nt
Filed under: uncultured bacterium
Lineage: Bacteria
Description: partial small subunit ribosomal RNA
Rfam family: Bacterial small subunit ribosomal RNA
Source: RNAcentral
AGAAUCAACGCUGGCGGCGUGCCUAACACAUGCAAGUCGCACGAGAAAGGGACUUCGGUCCUGAGUACAGUGGCGCACGGGUGAGUAACACGUGAAUCAUCUACCUCCGAGUGGGGAAUAACCUAGAGAAAUCUGGGCUAAUACCGCAUAACACUUACGAGUCAAAGCAGCAAUGCGCUUGGAGAGGAGUUCGCGGCCGAUUAGUUAGUUGGCGGGGUAAUGGCCCACCAAGACGAUGAUCGGUA